Molecule: ribosomal RNA, 253 nt
Filed under: uncultured bacterium
Lineage: Bacteria
Description: partial 16S ribosomal RNA
Rfam family: Bacterial small subunit ribosomal RNA
Source: RNAcentral
UACGUAGGGGGCAAGCGUUGCCCGGAUUUAUUGGGCGUAAAGAGCGUGUAGGCGGCUCGGUAUGUCUGCUGUGAAAACUCGAGGCUUAACCUCGAGCUGUCGGCGGAAACCAUCUGGCUAGAGUCCGGAAGAGGAGAAUGGAAUUCCCGGUGUAGCGGUGAAAUGCGCAGAUAUCGGGAGGAACACCAAUGGCGAAGGCAGCUCGCUGGGACGGUACUGACGCUGAGACGCGAAAGCGUGGGGAGCAAACAGG